CCUACGGGGAGCUGCAGUGAGGAAUAUUGGUCAAUGGGCGGGAGCCUGAACCAGCCAAGCCGCGUGAGGGAAGAAGGUACAGCGUAUUGUAAACCUCUUUUGUCAGGGAACAAAGGCGGGGACUAGUCCCCGGAUGAGGGUACCUGAAGAAUAAGCAUCGGCUAAUUCCGUGCCAGCAGCCGCGGUAAUACGGAGGAUGCGAGCGUUAUCCGGAUUUAUUGGGUUUAAAGGGUGCGCAGGCGGCCUGUUAAGUUAGCGGUAAAAGCCCGGGGCUCAACCCCGGCGAGCCGUGGAAACUGGCGGGCUGGAGUUGGAGAGAAGUACGCGGAAUGCGCGGUGUAGCGGUGAAAUGCUUAGAUAUCGCGCAGAACCCCGAUUGCGAAGGCAGCGUACCGGCUCCACACUGACGCUGAGGCACGAAAGCGUGGGUAUCGAACAGGAUUAGAUACCCCUGUAGUC
Molecule: ribosomal RNA, 459 nt
Filed under: uncultured bacterium
Lineage: Bacteria
Description: partial 16S ribosomal RNA
Rfam family: Bacterial small subunit ribosomal RNA
Source: RNAcentral